This 206-nucleotide long non-coding RNA is filed under the name Lathyrus oleraceus (garden pea). Its description in RNAcentral is "Pisum sativum (pea) long non-coding RNA (PSAT_LNC002103)". Lineage: Eukaryota; Viridiplantae; Streptophyta; Magnoliopsida; Fabales; Fabaceae. The record is from RNAcentral.
UCUGUUAGAGAUUUGUCUUUUGAUAGUGUGAGUUUUAAAUUUUUCUGCAUAAUGGAUACUGAUAUGAUAGUGUGAGUUUUUGUGUUAAAUUUUCAGCAUAAUGGAUACUGAUAUGACAGUGAGUUUUGUGUACUGAUAUGGAUGGUGUCAAUUUGUGGUUAUAUUAUUUUUAUCAUAAUACUGAUAGUGUGGAUGUGUAUGAUGAU